RNAcentral lists this ribosomal RNA (253 nucleotides) under uncultured bacterium. RNAcentral describes it as "partial 16S ribosomal RNA". It matches the Rfam family "Bacterial small subunit ribosomal RNA", at positions 524 to 776 of the family's 1533-position model. The record is from RNAcentral.
UACGUAGGGUGCGAGCGUUGUCCGGAAUUACUGGGCGUAAAGAGCUCGUAGGUGGUUUGUCGCGUUGUCCGUGAAAACUCACAGCUCAACUGUGGGCGUGCGGGCGAUACGGGCAGACUGGAGUACUGCAGGGGAGACUGGAAUUCCUGGUGUAGCGGUGGAAUGCGCAGAUAUCAGGAGGAACACCGGUGGCGAAGGCGGGUCUCUGGACAGUUCCUGACGCUGAGGCGCGAAGGCCAGGGGAGCAAACGGG